GAUGAACGCUGGCGGCGUGCCUAAUACAUGCAAGUCGAGCGAAUGGAUUAAGAGCUUGCUCUUAUGAAGUUAGCGGCGGACGGGUGAGUAACACGUGGGUAACCUGCCCAUAAGACUGGGAUAACUCCGGGAAACCGGGGCUAAUACCGGAUAACAUUUUGAACCGCAUGGUUCGAAAUUGAACGGCGGCUUCGGCUGUCACUUAUGGAUGGACCCCCGUCGCAUUAGCAAGUUGGUGAGGUAGCGGCUCACCAAGGCAACGAUGCGUAGCCGACCUGAGAGGGUGAUCGGCCACACUGGGACUGAGACACGGCCCAGACUCCUACGGGAGGCAGCAGUAGGGAAUCUUCCGCAAUGGACGAAAGUCUGACGGAGCAACGCCGCGUGAGUGAUGAAGGCUUUCGGGUCGUAAAACUCUGUUGUUAGGGAAGAACAAGUGCUAGUUGAAUAAGCUGGCACCUUGACGGUACCUAACCAGAAAGCCACGGCUAACUACGUGCCAGCAGCCGCCGUAA
Molecule: ribosomal RNA, 515 nt
Filed under: uncultured bacterium
Lineage: Bacteria
Description: partial 16S ribosomal RNA
Rfam family: Bacterial small subunit ribosomal RNA
Source: RNAcentral